AAUCGGGUAGACGCUACGGACUUAAAAUCCGUCGACCUUAGAAAUCGUGA
This 50-nucleotide transfer RNA is filed under the name Turnera involucrata. Its description in RNAcentral is "partial tRNA-Leu". The record is from RNAcentral. Lineage: Eukaryota; Viridiplantae; Streptophyta; Magnoliopsida; Malpighiales; Passifloraceae.